Molecule: unclassified non-coding RNA, 293 nt
Filed under: uncultured Ascomycota
Lineage: Eukaryota; Fungi; Ascomycota
Description: sequence contains ITS1
Source: RNAcentral
GGGACUACAAGGGUAUCUAAUCCUGUUUGCUCCCCACGCUUUCGCGUCUCAGCGUCAGUCACCGUCCAGGUGGCCGCCUUCGCCACUGGUGUUCCUUCCGAUAUCUACGAAUUUCACCUCUACACCGGAAAUUCCGCCACCCUCUCCGGGACUCUAGCGAGGCAGUUUCGGGUGCAGUUCCGGGGUUGAGCCCCGGGAUUUCACACCCGACUUGCCAAGCCGCCUACACGCGCUUUACGCCCAGUGAUUCCGAACAACGCUCGGACCCUCCGUAUUACCGCGGCGGCUGGCAC